RNAcentral lists this long non-coding RNA (495 nucleotides) under Lonchura striata (white-rumped munia). RNAcentral's name for it is "domestica (Bengalese finch) lncRNA (ENSLSDG00000000881.1)". Lineage: Eukaryota; Metazoa; Chordata; Aves; Passeriformes; Estrildidae. The record is from RNAcentral.
UGAUGGUGAUGAUGAUGGGUGGAUAGAGAAGGUUGGAUGAUGAUGAUGAUGGGUGGAUGGAGAAGGUUGGAUGAUGGUGAUGAUGAUGAUGAUGGUGAUGAUGGGUGGAUGGAGAAGGUUGGAUGAUGAUGAUGAUGAUGGGUGGAUGGAGAAGGUUGGAUGAAGGAUGAUGAAGGUUGGAUGAUGGAUGAUGAAGGUGGGAUGGUGAGGAUGAUGAAGAUGAGGGUCUGAUGAUGGUGGUGGUGGGAUGAUGAUGAUGGUGGGAUGAAGAUGGUGGUGGAGAUGGUGGUUGUGGGAUGAAGAUGAUGAAGAUGAUGGUGGGAUGAAGAUGGGGUGAUGGUGGGAUGAUGAUGGUGGUGGGGUGAAGAUGAUGAAGAUGGUGGUGGGAUGGUGAUGAAGAUGAGGGUAGGAUGAAGAUGGUGGUGGUGAUGGUGAUGGCGGGAUGAAGGUGGUGAGGAUGGUGGUGGGAUUGAGGGGGUGAUGAUGAUGAAGAUG